This 883-nucleotide ribosomal RNA is filed under the name Prevotella pallens. RNAcentral's name for it is "bacterial SSU rRNA". It matches the Rfam family "Bacterial small subunit ribosomal RNA". Lineage: Bacteria; Pseudomonadati; Bacteroidota; Bacteroidia; Bacteroidales; Prevotellaceae. The record is from RNAcentral.
GAUGAACGCUAGCUAUAGGCUUAACACAUGCAAGUCGAGGGGAAACGGCAUUAUGUGCUUGCACAUUUUGGACGUCGACCGGCGCACGGGUGAGUAUCGCGUAUCCAACCUGCCCUUUACUUGGGGAUACCCCGUUGAAAGACGGCCUAAUACCCGAUGUAAUUCAUUGAUGGCAUCAGAUAUGAAUAAAAGAUUUAUCGGUAAAGGAUGGGGAUGCGUCUGAUUAGCUUGUUGGUGAGGUAAUGGCUCACCAAGGCGACGAUCAGUAGGGGUUCUGAGAGGAAGGUCCCCCACAUUGGAACUGAGACACGGUCCAAACUCCUACGGGAGGCAGCAGUGAGGAAUAUUGGUCAAUGGGCGCAAGCCUGAACCAGCCAAGUAGCGUGCAGGAAGACGGCCCUAUGGGUUGUAAACUGCUUUUAUACGAGAAUAAUUUGAUGCACGUGUGCGUUAUUGCAUGUAUCGUAUGAAUAAGGACCGGCUAAUUCCGUGCCAGCAGCCGCGGUAAUACGGAAGGUCCAGGCGUUAUCCGGAUUUAUUGGGUUUAAAGGGAGUGUAGGCGGUUUGUUAAGCGUGUUGUGAAAUUUAGAUGCUCAACAUUUAACUUGCAGCGCGAACUGGCGAACUUGAGUGCACACAACGUAUGCGGAAUUCAUGGUGUAGCGGUGAAAUGCUUAGAUAUCAUGAAGAACUCCGAUUGCGAAGGCAGCAUACGGGAGUGUAACUGACGCUUAAGCUCGAAGGUGCGGGUAUCGAACAGGUUUAGAUACCCUGGUAGUCCAAGGGCGAAUUCCACAGUGGAUAUCAAGCUUAUCGAUACCGUCGACCUCGAGGGGGGGGCCCGGUACCCAGCUUUUGUUCCCUUUAUGAGUGUUUAAAUUAA